UUCUUAAUUUCUUCUUCCUUUAAUCGUAGGCUUUUCGCAUUCGCUAUA
This 48-nucleotide unclassified non-coding RNA is filed under the name Saccharolobus solfataricus. Lineage: Archaea; Thermoproteati; Thermoproteota; Thermoprotei; Sulfolobales; Sulfolobaceae. The record is from RNAcentral.